AUUAAACKACUCUCGGCAACGGAUAUCUCGGCUCUCGCAUCGAUGAAGAACGUAGCGAAAUGCGAUACUUGGUGUGAAUUGCAGAAUCCCGUGAACCAUCGAGUCUUUGAACGCAAGUUGCGCCCGAAGCCUUCGGGCCGAGGGCACGUCUGCCUGGGCGUC
This 162-nucleotide ribosomal RNA is filed under the name Carpobrotus quadrifidus. RNAcentral describes it as "5.8S ribosomal RNA". It matches the Rfam family "5.8S ribosomal RNA". From Rfam's summary of the family: 5.8S ribosomal RNA (5.8S rRNA) is a component of the large subunit of the eukaryotic ribosome. It is transcribed by RNA polymerase I as part of the 45S precursor that also contains 18S and 28S rRNA. Functionally, it is thought that 5.8S rRNA may be involved in ribosome translocation. The record is from RNAcentral. Lineage: Eukaryota; Viridiplantae; Streptophyta; Magnoliopsida; Caryophyllales; Aizoaceae.